AAGUCGUAACAAGGUUUCCGUAGGUGAACCUGCGGAAGGAUCAUUACAUUCAGUAGCUCGCUACUGUUAGGGAGGCCGGUUAGUCUGUAUAGUAUCACUACUGAUGAGCAGCACGGCCUUCUGUCUGUACCCUUGUCUUUUGCGCACUCAUGUUUCCUCGGCUGGGUUUACGCCCGCCGGCUGGACAACUCUAUAACCUUUUUAAUUUUCAAUCAGCGUCUGAAAAACCUAAUAAUUACAACUUUCAACAACGGAUCUCUUGGUUCUG
Molecule: unclassified non-coding RNA, 268 nt
Filed under: fungal sp.
Lineage: Eukaryota; Fungi
Also listed under: 1 other name
Description: partial internal transcribed spacer region
Rfam family: Eukaryotic small subunit ribosomal RNA (bases 1-46)
Source: RNAcentral